GACCACAUUGGGACAUCCCAGAGGGGUCAAAGGAGCAAUCCGGUGAAGGGUGGGCUCGCGUCCGAUUAGAUAGUUGGUGAGGUAACGGCCCACCAAGUCGACGAUCGGUAGCCGACCUGAGAGGGUGAUCGGCCACAUUGGGACUGAGACACGGCCCAAACUCCUACGGGAGGCAGCAGUGGGGAAUAUUGGGCAAUGGGGGAAACCCUGACCCAGCAACGCCGCGUGAGGGAAGAAGGUUUUCGGAUCGUAAACCUCUGUCCUUGGUGAAGAGUGAGAGACGGUAGCCAAGGAGGAAGCCCCGGCUAACUACGUGCCAGCAGCCGCGGUAAUACGUAGGGGGCGAGCGUUGUCCGGAAUGAUUGGGCGUAAAGGGCGCGUAGGCGGCCCGGUAAGUCUGAAGUGAAAGUCCUGCUUUCAAGGUGGGAAUUGCUUUGGAUACUGUCGGGCUUGAGUGCAGGAGAGGUAAGUGGAAUUCCCAGUGUAGCGGUGAAAUGCGUAGAGAUUGGGAGGAACACCAGUGGCGAAGGCGACUUACUGGACUGUAACUGACGCUGAGGCGCGAAAGUGUGGGGAGCAA
This 580-nucleotide ribosomal RNA is filed under the name uncultured rumen bacterium. Its description in RNAcentral is "bacterial SSU rRNA". It matches the Rfam family "Bacterial small subunit ribosomal RNA", at positions 173 to 771 of the family's 1533-position model. The record is from RNAcentral.